This 253-nucleotide ribosomal RNA is filed under the name uncultured Eubacteriales bacterium. RNAcentral describes it as "uncultured Clostridiales bacterium partial 16S ribosomal RNA". It matches the Rfam family "Bacterial small subunit ribosomal RNA", at positions 524 to 776 of the family's 1533-position model. Lineage: Bacteria; Bacillati; Bacillota; Clostridia; Eubacteriales. The record is from RNAcentral.
UACGUAGGGGGCAAGCGUUAUCCGGAUUUACUGGGUGUAAAGGGAGCGCAGGCGGUAUGGCAAGUCAGAUGUGAAAACCCAGGGCCCAACCCUGGGACUGCAUUUGAAACUGCCAUACAGGAGUGCCGGAGAGGUAAGUGGAAUUCCUAGUGUAGCGGUGAAAUGCGUAGAUAUUAGGAAGAACACCAGUGGCGAAGGCGGAUUACUGGACGACAACUGACGGUGAGGCGCGAAAGCGUGGGGAGCAAACAGG